Molecule: long non-coding RNA, 259 nt
Organism: Anoplopoma fimbria (sablefish)
Lineage: Eukaryota; Metazoa; Chordata; Actinopteri; Perciformes; Anoplopomatidae
Exons: 3
Source: RefSeq, a predicted model, not a curated record
CCCGAAACAGGUCGGACAGGUGCAGGUGCCACUCCCUGGAAACCAACGCUGCGUUCAAGGACUUCAUGAAAGCUCCUACAGCCAGGUGUUUUAUGAGCUACCAGCGGUCAGGAUCAAGGAAAAUCCAAACCUGUGACCUCACUCCGUUGCCUGAGAUGGCUGAUGCACAGCCAUUUUCCUGCCCCAUCUUUCCUGUGUGGCCCACCUCUCCUCUAAGCCCCUUCUCUCCUAACACUCCUGAGAAAGAAGAGAAAGAAAG